Molecule: ribosomal RNA, 880 nt
Filed under: Escherichia coli
Lineage: Bacteria; Pseudomonadati; Pseudomonadota; Gammaproteobacteria; Enterobacterales; Enterobacteriaceae
Description: partial 23S ribosomal RNA
Rfam family: Bacterial large subunit ribosomal RNA
Source: RNAcentral
AGCCUGAAUCAGUGUGUGUGUUAGUGGAAGCGUCUGGAAAGGCGCGCGAUACAGGGUGACAGCCCCGUACACAAAAAUGCACAUGCUGUGAGCUCGAUGAGUAGGGCGGGACACGUGGUAUCCUGUCUGAAUAUGGGGGGACCAUCCUCCAAGGCUAAAUACUCCUGACUGACCGAUAGUGAACCAGUACCGUGAGGGAAAGGCGAAAAGAACCCCGGCGAGGGGAGUGAAAAAGAACCUGAAACCGUGUACGUACAAGCAGUGGGAGCACAGAGCAAUCUGUGUGACUGCGUACCUUUUGUAUAAUGGGUCAGCGACUUAUAUUCUGUAGCAAGGUUAACCGAAUAGGGGAGCCGAAGGGAAACCGAGUCUUAACUGGGCGUUAAGUUGCAGGGUAUAGACCCGAAACCCGGUGAUCUAGCCAUGGGCAGGUUGAAGGUUGGGUAACACUAACUGGAGGACCGAACCGACUAAUGUUGAAAAAUUAGCGGAUGACUUGUGGCUGGGGGUGAAAGGCCAAUCAAACCGGGAGAUAGCUGGUUCUCCCCGAAAGCUAUUUAGGUAGCGCCUCGUGAAUUCAUCUCCGGGGGUAGAGCACUGUUUCGGCAAGGGGGUCAUCCCGACUUACCAACCCGAUGCAAACUGCGAAUACCGGAGAAUGUUAUCACGGGAGACACACGGCGGGUGCUAACGUCCGUCGUGAAGAGGGAAACAACCCAGACCGCCAGCUAAGGUCCCAAAGUCAUGGUUAAGUGGGAAACGAUGUGGGAAGGCCCAGACAGCCAGGAUGUUGGCUUAGAAGCAGCCAUCAUUUAAAGAAAGCGUAAUAGCUCACUGGUCGAGUCGGCCUGCGCGGAAGAUGUAACGGGGCUAAACCAUG